RNAcentral lists this ribosomal RNA (253 nucleotides) under uncultured bacterium. RNAcentral's name for it is "partial 16S ribosomal RNA". It matches the Rfam family "Bacterial small subunit ribosomal RNA", at positions 524 to 776 of the family's 1533-position model. The record is from RNAcentral.
GACGAACCGUGCGAACGUUAUUCGGAAUCACUGGGCUUAAAGGGUGCGUAGGCGGGCUGUCAAGUCUGGGGUGAAAUCCCGCGGCUCAACCGUGGAACUGCCUUAGAUACUGAUGGCCUCGAGGAAGGUAGGGGCAUGCGGAACUGUAGGUGGAGCGGUGAAAUGCGCAGAUAUCAGGAGGAACACCGGUGGCGAAGGCGGGUCUCUGGGCCGAUACUGACGCUGAGGAGCGAAAGCGUGGGGAGCGAACAGG